Molecule: ribosomal RNA, 1683 nt
Filed under: metagenome
Description: bacterial LSU rRNA
Rfam family: Bacterial large subunit ribosomal RNA
Source: RNAcentral
AAUACAUUGGUAGAGGAGCAUUCUUAAAGGGAAGAAGCAGUACCGGUAAGGAGCUGUGGACAUUUAAGAAGAGAGAAUGCCGGAAUGAGUAGCGAGAUGGAGGUGGGAAUCCUCCAGGCCGAAUAUCCAAGGUUUCCAGAGUAAAGCUGAUCUGCUCUGGGUAAGUCGGGGCCUAAGGUAAGGCUGAGAAGCGUAGCCGAUGGACAACAGGUUGAGAUUCCUGUACCGCGUAUCAUCAGAACUGUGGGGACACAGAAGGACAGCACAGCCCGGGAAUGGAAAGACCGGGGCAAGCAGGGUAGGAGUUAAGCUGGCAAAUCCGCUUGACGAUCCGAAGCUGUGAUGCGGAGCGAAUUAAAGUAGCGAAGUGUGUGAUUCCGGCUGUCAAGAAAAGCCGCUAUUGUGUGAUACGUGCCCGUACCGUAAACCGACACAGGUAGAUGAGGAGAGAAUCCUAAGGCCGGCGGGAGAAGCAUUGUUAAGGAACUCGGCAAAAUGACCCUGUAACUUCGGGAGAAAGGGUGCCUGGGAAACCAGGCCGCAGAGAAUAGGCUCAAGCAACUGUUUAGCAAAAACACAGGUCUAUGCAAAACCGUAAGGUGAGGUAUAUGGGCUGACGCCUGCCCGGUGCUGGAAGGUUAAGAGGAGGGGUUAGCGCAAGCGAAGCUCUGAAUUGAAGCCCCAGUAAACGGCGGCCGUAACAAUAACGGUCCUAAGGUAGCGAAAUUCCUUGUCGGGUAAGUUCCGACCCGCACGAAAGGCGUAAUGAUUUGAGCGCUGUCUCGACAAUGCACCCGGUGAAAUUGAAAUACCAGUGAAGAUGCUGGUUACCCGCGCCAGGACGGAAAGACCCCAUGGAGCUUUACUCCAGCUUGAUACUGGGAUUCGGUACUGCAUGUACAGGAUAGGGGGGAGACUGAGAAACUAGGACGCCAGUCUUAGAUGAGUCGCUGUUGGGAUACCACCCCUGCGGUAUUGGAUUUCUAACCUGCAGCCGUGAACCGGCUGGGGGACAAUGUCAGGCGGGGAGUUUGACUGGGGCGGUCGCCUCCGAAAGGGUAUCGGAGGCGCUCAAAGGUUCCCUCAUAAUGGUUGGAAACCAUUAGAAGAGUGCAAAGGCAUAAGGGAGCUUGACUGCGACACCGACGGGUGGAGCAGGUAGGAAACUAGGACUUAGUGAUCCGGUGGUAUGAAAGUGGGAUUGCCGUCGCUCAACGGAUAAAAGCUACCCUGGGAUAACAGGCUUAUCACUCCCAAGAGUUCACAUCGACGGAGUGGUUUGGCACCUCGAUGUCGGCUCAUCGCAUCCUGGGGCUGUAGCAGGUCCCAAGGGUUGGGCUGUUCGCCCAUUAAAGCGGUACGCGAGCUGGGUUCAGAACGUCGUGAGACAGUUCGGUCCCUAUCCGGCGUGGGCGUAGGAUAUUUGAGAGGAGCUGUCCUUAGUACGAGAGGACCGGGAUGGACGGGCCGCUGGUGUACCUGUUGGAGUGCCAACUCCAUGGCAGGGUAGCCAAGCCCGGACGGGAUAAACGCUGAAGGCAUCUAAGCGUGAAGCCCCCCUCAAGAUGAGAUAUCCCAUACGCAGGUAGUAAGACCCCUUGAAGACGACAAGGUAGAUAGGUCAGAGGUGGAAGUGUGGUGACACAUGGAGCUGACUGAUACUAAACGGUCGAGGGCUUGAUC